CAGUGUUACAGCUCUUUUAGAAUUUGUCUAGUAGGUCUGGCUUUUGCUGGAAGGCUCUU
Molecule: small nuclear RNA, 59 nt
Filed under: Dasypus novemcinctus (nine-banded armadillo)
Lineage: Eukaryota; Metazoa; Chordata; Mammalia; Cingulata; Dasypodidae
Description: U7 small nuclear RNA (ENSDNOG00000027604.1)
Rfam family: U7 small nuclear RNA
About the family: Animal histone pre-mRNAs are spliced by a different mechanism than nuclear pre-mRNAs and self-splicing introns. This processing involves the U7 snRNP, which contains only one RNA species: U7.
Source: RNAcentral